Molecule: ribosomal RNA, 253 nt
Filed under: uncultured bacterium
Lineage: Bacteria
Description: partial 16S ribosomal RNA
Rfam family: Bacterial small subunit ribosomal RNA
Source: RNAcentral
UACGAAGGGGGCUAGCGUUGUUCGGAAUUACUGGGCGUAAAGCGCGUGUAGGCGGGUCUUUAAGUCAGGGGUGAAAUGCCAAGGCUCAACCUUGGAACUGCCUUUGAUACUGGAGAUCUUGAGUCCGGGAGAGGUGAGUGGAAUUGCGAGUGUAGAGGUGAAAUUCGUAGAUAUUCGGAAGAACACCAGUGGCGAAGGCGACUGACUGGACAAGUAUUGACGCUGAGGUGCGAAAGCGUGGGGAGCAAACAGG